CCGCCCCUUCACGUGCCCGCGGCGUCGCGUCACACCCGGAAGCAGCGUCUGGAUCGGAGCGGGCAGCAAUGAGCGGCGACCUGGGGCCGACGUCUGCAGCGCCCCAUCCCAGGGAGAUCGAACCCGGCAGUGGGGUCCGCAUCGUGGUGGAGUACUGUGAACCCUGCGGCUUCGAGUCGACCUACCUGGAGCUGGCAAGUGCCGUGAAAGAGCAGUAUCCUGGCAUCGAGAUUGAGUCGCGCCUGGGGGGCACAGGGGCCUUUGAGAUCGAGAUCAAUGGACAGCUGGUUUUCUCCAAGCUGGAGAAUGGGGGCUUCCCUUAUGAAAAAGAUCUCAUUGAGGCCAUCCGAAGAGCCAGUAACGGAGAACCCCUAGAAAAGAUCACCAACAGCCGACCUCCCUGCGUCAUCCUGUGACUACAUGGGAUUUCAGGUUCCUGCUCAUCUGGGAUCCAAGCCUUGGUUUCCCCUUUGGUCCUGCAGCCUCCGCAUCGUGUACUUUCGGAUCUUCUGCCGCCUUCGCCUAACUACAAUGCCGAAGACGACCCCCACGACCAUGAACAGCAGAGUGCCCACCACAGUGGCAAUGAUGGUCGUCACAGGACUGGGGACAGAAGCCAAGCCAUAGGUUCAUGAUUUUCCACACCUCCCAACCUUUGCACAUGCUGUUACUUCUGCCUGGACCACCAUAUCUCCAUAGGAUCACCUUUCAAGACUCAUCCUGGAAUAGAUGGCACUCCUCGGUACUAACCCUACGUCGCUGUCAUCCUUGCCCCUUUCCCUUGCUUAGUCAAGGGCUAGCACAUCACAGACCUCUAAUAAACACUUGUUUCAUAGACAAAUGACUGCCUAGGACAUACUCUAAUCUGUUUUUCUCCCCAAAGCUCCCCACUGACCACCAAGGGGCUGGUAGGGGAUGAGGGGCGAUGCUGUAGCUGCACUCUCUUCUCAAUCUACCUUGAGUCCUGGGGAGUCAAACGCUGCCUAUGUCCCUUACAAGACAUCUAGCUACUCAAGGGUGGGGAGGUACUGGGUGUCUUUGCCAUCUUCUCCUGUUCCCCACCCCUCAAGCAUCAUCUUGAGCAGGUCCUCCAUUCACUUGUUGAAGCGAAUUGAAAGGAGGGUCAACAGUGGAAAAGUGGGCAAGGAAGGGACAUGUUGAUGUCAGGAUACCCCCUUUCCGGCAGCAGUGACCACCUAGGG
RNA transcript from Hipposideros armiger (great roundleaf bat), 1202 nucleotides. It is a transcript of the gene named migration and invasion enhancer 1, with no coding region annotated. The record is from RefSeq and is a predicted model, not a curated record. The transcript has 6 exons. NCBI's taxonomy places the organism in Eukaryota, Metazoa, Chordata, Mammalia, Chiroptera, Hipposideridae.